Molecule: ribosomal RNA, 461 nt
Filed under: uncultured bacterium
Lineage: Bacteria
Description: bacterial SSU rRNA
Rfam family: Bacterial small subunit ribosomal RNA
Source: RNAcentral
GUAGGUGGCAAGCGUUGUCCGGAAUUAUUGGGCGUAAAGCGCGCGCAGGCGGAUUGGUCAGUCUGUCUUAAAAGUUCGGGGCUUAACCCCGUGAUGGGAUGGAAACUGCCAAUCUAGAGUAUCGGAGAGGAAAGUGGAAUUCCUAGUGUAGCGGUGAAAUGCGUAGAUAUUAGGAAGAACACCAGUGGCGAAGGCGACUUUCUGGACGAAAACUGACGCUGAGGCGCGAAAGCCAGGGGAGCGAACGGGAUUAGAUACCCCGGUAGUCCUGGCCGUAAACGAUGGGUACUAGGUGUAGGAGGUAUCGACCCCUUCUGUGCCGGAGUUAACGCAAUAAGUACCCCGCCUGGGGAGUACGACCGCAAGGUUGAAACUCAAAGGAAUUGACGGGGGCCCGCACAAGCGGUGGAGUAUGUGGUUUAAUUCGACGCAACGCGAAGAACCUUACCAGGUCUUGACAU